RNAcentral lists this ribosomal RNA (345 nucleotides) under uncultured bacterium. Its description in RNAcentral is "bacterial SSU rRNA". It matches the Rfam family "Bacterial small subunit ribosomal RNA", at positions 917 to 1269 of the family's 1533-position model. The record is from RNAcentral.
GGACCCGCACAAGCGGUGGAGUAUGUGGUUUAAUUCGACGACAACACGAAGCAACCUUACCAGGGUUUGAAAUCAUUUCAAAACUCCUUGAAAGAGGAGCCUCCUUCGGGAUGAAAUGACAGGUGGUGCAUGGCUGUCGUCAGCUCGUGUUGUGAAAUGUCGAGUUAAGUCUCGUAACGAGCGCAACCCAUGUCUCUUGUUGCUCACUGAGUGCUUAAGAGAGACUGCCGACCAACAUCGGAGGAAGGUGUGGAUGAUGUCAAGUCAGCAUGCCCCUUACAUCCUGGGGCUACACACGUACUACAAUGGUAAGGACAAUGAGCUGCGAUCCUGCGAAGGCUAGCC